Molecule: transfer RNA, 61 nt
Filed under: Panonychus citri (citrus red mite)
Lineage: Eukaryota; Metazoa; Arthropoda; Arachnida; Trombidiformes; Tetranychidae
Description: tRNA-Asn
Source: RNAcentral
UUAAAAGAAGCUUUAUAAGUAUUUUGUUGUUAACAAAAAGAAGAAAAUUUUUCCUUUUAAA